Molecule: ribosomal RNA, 238 nt
Filed under: uncultured bacterium
Lineage: Bacteria
Description: partial 16S ribosomal RNA
Rfam family: Bacterial small subunit ribosomal RNA
Source: RNAcentral
GAUCCUGGCUCAGGACGAACGCUGGCGGCGUGCUUAACACAUGCAAGUCGAACGAAGAGCGAUGGAAGCUUGCUUCUAUCAAUCUUAGUGGCGAACGGGUGAGUAACGCGUAAUCAACCUGCCCCUUCAGAGGGGGACAACAGUUGGAAACGACUGCUAAUACCGCAUACGAUCUGACCUCGGCAUCGAGGAUGGAUGAAAGGUGGCCUCUAUUUAUAAGCUAUCACUGAAGGAGGGG